Egretta garzetta (little egret) is the source of this 2006-nucleotide RNA transcript. It is a transcript of the gene named general transcription factor IIB, with no coding region annotated. NCBI's taxonomy places the organism in Eukaryota, Metazoa, Chordata, Aves, Pelecaniformes, Ardeidae. The transcript has 10 exons. The record is from RefSeq and is a predicted model, not a curated record.
CAAGUCGGGAAUGAAGGAAGGCGCAUGGAGCAGACUGCGGAGUGACUGUUAAUCCUGCUAAACCUGUCCUAGGGUCUAGGGAGUGUUUCCUAAUUUGGAUGUACUUCCGCGAGUGACUUGCCCAAAUCAUCCAGAUUCCAUUUUAGUAGAGGAUUACAGAGCUGGUGAUAUGAUUUGUUCUGAGUGUGGGCUAGUAGUAGGUAAAUAUUUUGCUUACUGCCUUUUAGGCAGUAAAAAAGGCUGGAAGUCAGCUGAUACACCAGAAGGGGCUGAAGAAAGCAGAAUCGAAGUGGAAUACAGAGCACUGAAUUUUCUUGAUGUAGCAAGGUGGUGAGCUGAAUUUCAGAGGGCGCUAAGAAUGAGUCUAGUGGCAUGUACAGCUGUGUAGCAGCUCAGAUAGGUAGGAAUACCUUUCCAGUCUAAGACUUUCCUUAAACUUCUGUAUGGUUUUAUUAAAUGUUGUGUACUAGUGUGCAGGUGUUGGAGCAGCGAGGAGUUUAUUUUUAGCAUUUGCUGUUGCUAGUAUCCUGUAAGUUGAGAAGAUGCUUAAGUACUUCUGACUUGGAUCCGGUAGAGGGCAAUUACGUCUAUUUUAGUAUCUCCAUAUGGUGAAAAGUCUUUUCAUAUCUGGGUGUAUGUUCAUGGUUACUUCUUUCUGUGACCGGGUCAUAGACGUAGGGUCGGAGUGGAGAACUUUCAGCAAUGACAAAGCAACAAAAGAUCCAUCUCGAGUUGGGGAUACCCAGAAUCCUUUGUUGAGCGAUGGUGACUUGAGUACAAUGAUUGGCAAGGGCACAGGUGCAGCAAGUUUUGAUGAAUUUGGGAAUUCGAAAUACCAAAAUCGCAGAACUAUGAGCAGCUCUGAUCGUGCAAUGAUGAAUGCUUUUAAAGAAAUUACGAACAUGGCAGACAGAAUCAACCUCCCUAGAAAUAUAGUUGAUCGAACAAAUAAUUUAUUCAAGCAAGUGUAUGAGCAAAAGAGCCUGAAGGGAAGGAGUAAUGAUGCUAUUGCUUCUGCUUGUCUCUACAUAGCCUGUAGGCAAGAGGGUGUCCCAAGAACAUUUAAAGAAAUAUGCGCAGUGUCCAGGAUUUCAAAGAAGGAAAUAGGCCGGUGUUUUAAACUCAUUUUGAAAGCUCUUGAAACCAGCGUUGAUCUGAUUACAACCGGAGACUUCAUGUCAAGAUUCUGCUCCAAUCUGGGUCUUCCCAAACAAGUACAAAUGGCAGCAACGCAUAUUGCCCGUAAAGCUGUGGAAUUAGAUUUGGUGCCUGGGAGAAGCCCUAUCUCUGUAGCAGCUGCAGCUAUUUACAUGGCAUCACAAGCUUCUGCAGAGAAAAGGACACAAAAAGAAAUUGGUGAUAUUGCCGGUGUGGCUGACGUUACGAUUAGACAAUCGUACAGGCUGAUCUAUCCUCGAGCUCCAGACCUCUUCCCAGCAGACUUCAAGUUUGAUACCCCAGUAGACAAACUACCACAGCUGUGAAAUUCCAGAGGGUUACUUUUAAUUUCUAUAAAAAAAAAAAACCCCAAACCUCUGACAACAGAAAACUUUUGAUUUUUUUGCCUAUAAUAAAGGAUGUACAAAGUGUUAAUAUAGAUCUUCAUGUUGUGGAACUGGAGGAUAUGGAGAUGGAGCAUAACUGCUGGAACGCAGCAUACAUUCCAAGGGCGUUCUGCAGGAGCAGUUGAGGCGCUGAGCGGUGAGUGAGUGCAGUUGAAGUUGUUGCAUGCAGCAGGAGCUGUCUGGACUGAAAUGGGAAUGCAGCUGGGCAGAGCUCUGGAGUGCAGCAGACAGGCAGGGAGGGACCGUCCCGGCGUGACCCUGCCUCUUCCCGCGAUGCCGCAAGCGCUUCCCGCGCCUCCCGUCCCGCCGAGAGGGUGUAGUGACUGCGCAGCCCAAAGAGGUAGAACCAGGAACGUGCUUGAAGGGCCGUGUAUUCUGAAAACCAGUUACUGCUGCUCCCAGGAGACUACGGUUAAUGUGAAGCAUUCCGGGGGGGGAAAG